Long non-coding RNA from Ictalurus punctatus (channel catfish), 1020 nucleotides. NCBI's taxonomy places the organism in Eukaryota, Metazoa, Chordata, Actinopteri, Siluriformes, Ictaluridae. The record is from Ensembl.
CUCAAGCGUCUGGAUCCCAGACCCAGUCAGCAUACCAGCCCUAGCACUACAACACUGCUUCAGACAGCCAGCCUGUUCUUCCUCAGAGUCAGCCUUCGGGAGCUUCUGCUCCAUAUCCAAGUCAAACCUCUGGCGUGUACAAUAUUGCACAGCGUCCAUUGACUGCAACCCUUUCCGAAAUACCUGGGUCCACAUCCAGUCAUCAUACCAGCCUGGCACUACAACACUGCUCUUCAGACAGGCCAGUCUGCGUCUACAUCUCAGGCUCAGUCCUCUGGCGCAUCAACGUUGUAUCAAGGAUUAGCUCUGGCAGGUAUCUGACUUCACUGGGUCAUAUAAUUCCAUCCUCCUCCCAGUCUGUGGUCACUACAAACCAGACAUCUGGAUCCCAGACCCAGUCAUCAUACCAGCCUGGCACCACAACACUGCUCAGACAGGCCAGUCUGCUUCUACAUCUCAGGCUCUUGGCAGCCAUGGAGCUGCACCUUCAGGACAUGCUAAAUGGUACACCAUUGUACAAGGUCAGACAAUUCCAUCUUCUCAAGCCUCUGGAUCCCAGACCCAGUCAUCAUACCAGCCUGGCACCACAACACAGGUUCAGACAGGCCAGUCUGCUUCUACAUCUCAGGCUCAGUCCUCUGGUGCAUCAACAUUGUAUCCAGGGAUUAGGAGGAAUGUGACUUCUCUGGGUCAUGGCUUUCCAUACUCAACCCAGUCUGUGGUGACCGCAAACCAGACAUCUGGAUCCCAGACCCAGUCAUCAUACCAGCCUAGCACUACAACGCUCCUUCAGACAGGCCAGCCUGUUCUUCCUCAGAGUCAGCCUUCGGGAGCUUCUGCUUCAUAUCCAGUCAAACCUCUGGCGUGUACAAUAUUACACAGCGUCCAUUGACUGCAACCCUUUCCGAAAUACCUGGGUUCCACAUCCAGUCAUCAUACCAGCCUGGCACUACAACACUGCUUCAGACAGGCCAGUCUGCUUCUACAUCUCAGGCUCAGUCCUCUGGUGCAUCAACAUUG